RNAcentral lists this ribosomal RNA (439 nucleotides) under uncultured bacterium. RNAcentral's name for it is "partial 16S ribosomal RNA". It matches the Rfam family "Bacterial small subunit ribosomal RNA", at positions 339 to 795 of the family's 1533-position model. The record is from RNAcentral.
CCACGGGAGGCUCCAGUGGGGAAUUUUGCGCAAUGGGCGAAAGCCUGACGCAGCAAUACCGCGUGAGUGAAGAAGGCCUUUGGGUCGUAAAGCUCUUUUCUGGGGGAAGAUAGUGACGGUACCCCAGGAAUAAGCACCGGCUAACUCCGUGCCAGCAGCCGCGGUAAUACGGAGGGUGCAAGCGUUGUUCGGAUUUACUGGGCGUAAAGGGCACGUAGGCGGCACAGCAAGUUAAGGGUGAAAUCCCGGGGCUCAACUCCGGAACUGCUCUUAAAACUGCUGAGCUAGAGAUAGUCAGAGGCGGGUGGAAUUCCUGGUGUAGAGGUGAAAUUCGUAGAUAUCAGGAGGAACACCGGUGGCGAAGGCGGCCCGCUGGGGCUAUUCUGACGCUAAGGUGCGAAAGCGUGGGGAGCGAACGGGAUUAGAUACCCGGGUAGUC